Molecule: long non-coding RNA, 288 nt
Filed under: Mytilus galloprovincialis (Mediterranean mussel)
Lineage: Eukaryota; Metazoa; Mollusca; Bivalvia; Mytilida; Mytilidae
Source: RNAcentral
CAACUUUACAGUAUUUGUUUUUCUACCAUGGUACAGGUGGUACAGGUUAGUUAUAAUUACAAAGUUAUUACACACCCUGAAUUAUUAAACAACAACCCAGUCUCAAACUACACAUAAAUAUCUCUGAAAUACACAUCCUUACCAUUCUUCUUAAACAAAGAAUUAUAUAAUAUAUUAAUGCAAAGGAGUAGGUUCAGUAAGACCCCUUUUUGGCUCCAAAACAUAGCAGUUUUAGAAAACUGUGAAAAUGUAAUCUUUAAGCUAUAUUUUGGAAAAUUAAAAUACUUC